Small nucleolar RNA from Motacilla alba alba, 129 nucleotides. NCBI's taxonomy places the organism in Eukaryota, Metazoa, Chordata, Aves, Passeriformes, Motacillidae. The record is from RefSeq and is a predicted model, not a curated record.
UGGCACUGUUCGUAACCUAUUAACAGCACCUUCCUGCUAAUGGGUUCCAUUCCAGUGCUACAUGAAACCCUAAGAUAAUAAAGGACUGGUUGGUUCUCUGCCUGUCUCCAUUAUUUUGGGGGGACAUCA